This is a long non-coding RNA of Pipra filicauda (Wire-tailed manakin), 1791 nucleotides long. RefSeq lists it as uncharacterized. The transcript is spliced from 2 exons. The record is from RefSeq and is a predicted model, not a curated record. Lineage: Eukaryota; Metazoa; Chordata; Aves; Passeriformes; Pipridae.
UCUUUUUUUUUUGUUGUUUUUUUUCUUUCUUCUCACAAGUCUUGUGGGACCAUCACCGCAAUGUUCCAGAUUUCUCAAGAAGUGAAAUGGAAUUGCAUUUAGAAGCAAUAUGGUUUUGACACAUCAGAGAGCAACAGCAUUUAUUUUCUUCUGUUCUUGUUGUCUUUUUAAACUAUUCACUAAGAUGCUAUUGACUACUAGCGACUGAGAGACUUCAAAUGAAGAAGAAAGUAAUAAUGGAAGACUUCAGUUCUCUUUACAUAGCAUUAUAUUUAUCAUAUGGAUGGGCUGUCAUGCAGACAGCACAUGUGUGUGUUCUCAUACAUCACUGCUUUUUGGAGCAAAAACUCACAACAGAAGGUUAAUCCAUCCCAAGAACACAAGGCCCUGAUUAUGUUGGGUCAAGGUCACUGUAACACUAAUUGCAUUCUCCUCAAAUUUUACAUAUACUAAGAAAAAAAUUUAAGAAAAAAAUCCUUGAAGUUGUUCUGAAAGAACUAGAAAUUGGUGUUUGCUGUAGUACAUAACCUGUUCUUGAAAUUGUCUAGAGUGCCAAAGGAAUAGCAAGUCACAAAUACCACAUUGGUCUCUAAUACAAGCACUGUUUCCUGAGUACUUUAAGACAGAUAAUUAAUUUUAAACAAGGUAGAACAGUAAAAACAGUAAUAAGGAAAGAAUGAGGAAAUACCUAUGACAGUUUAUAGAAGAGUAAAUGUGGGGUUUGUACUGGAAAAUCAGGCCUAGCAACUCUACUAGAAGGUUCCAGUAGACAUGGAGAAUAUUGAUCAUGUGCUAUUCAAAAAGUCCUGAGUCACCUGGAAGAAAGAAGUAAUGAUGGAGUUUACUGAUUACUCGUACGUAUUCAUGGUUGUCAAAAGCAGAGUUUGAGUAUGGAUACCUGGGGAAGAUUCGUCUACUGCUGAACUGAGAUAAUGACAUGGAGACUAAAUUUAGUGCUGUGAAAGUCAAAGUAAUGUAUUUGGGAAAAUUAACCCUAAAAAUACCUGUGCAGUGACAGUUAACAUUAGCAACAUUGUUACAGGGUUACUAGAUGCAACAAGGUUUUCCGGUGUAAGACAAGGUGAUUAAGGGUAAAUAUUAUGGAAACCUAUACAAUCAUGAGCUUUCUAAUUGCCAUAGGAUGUCAUAUUGUCAAAAAUGGAUUUACCAUGUUUCUGGAGAAUAGGUCGAGAGGGGCUCUUGAACAUAGUCAUCCAAAUGCGACUGACCACUGGCUCAGGAGGUUCCUAAACCUUUAAUUCAAUGAAAACAGGAUGAUAUAGCGAGGAAGAAUCCUUCAUUAUAUACUUAUUUCUACACUCCUGUAAGUGUCCAUUAUUAGACUUUGUAAGAGAGAAGGCAAUUUAAUAGAGGGACUUCUGGUUUAAGGUACUGUAGUACUGCUUAUUCUACUAACUCUUCUUGUGAUUAUUGACAAAGUUGGAAAAAAGUGAGUUUCACUCAACUGAAGAAUAAGCUUCAAAAUCUUGAGUAUCAAAUAUGACCCUAUGACAUAUCUUUUAAAUAAACGUGUCAGAUGCCUGAAAACCUUUCUAAAAGGACUCUCAGCUACUGCCUAUGGAGUCUGUUGUUUUUGGAAACAGUCAUGUUUGAGCAAUAGACUGUUGUCUUCAUCACUUCUUUCACACAGGCAGGUGUAUUGUCCUUUCAGAGACAUGAAGGGAUUAAAUACUUUACAGUGAGUAUCUCAGAGGGCUAUAAAAUGUACUUCUCUCUCUGGCAUGUGUCCACUGGUGUGAUUUCAAUAAAGUGUUUCUUUACUGUCCAAAA